This 500-nucleotide ribosomal RNA is filed under the name uncultured bacterium. RNAcentral describes it as "partial 16S ribosomal RNA". It matches the Rfam family "Bacterial small subunit ribosomal RNA", at positions 30 to 523 of the family's 1533-position model. The record is from RNAcentral.
AUUGAACGCUGGCGGCAUGCCUUACACAUGCAAGUCGAACGGCAGCACGGGAGCAAUCCUGGUGGCAAGUGGCGAACGGGUGAGUAAAGUAUCGGAACGUGCCCAGUCGUGGGGGAUAACGUAGCGAAAGUUACGCUAAUACCGCAUACGAUCUAUGGAUGAAAGCGGGGGAUCGCAAGACCUCGCGCGAUUGGAGCGGCCGAUAGCAGAUUAGGUAGUUGGUGGGGUAAAGGCUCACCAAGCCGACGAUCUGUAGCUGGUCUGAGAGGACGACCAGCCACACUGGGACUGAGACACGGCCCAGACUCCUACGGGAGGCAGCAGUGGGGAAUUUUGGACAAUGGGCGAAAGCCUGAUCCAGCCAUGCCGCGUGCAGGAUGAAGGCCUUCGGGUUGUAAACUGCUUUUGUACGGAACGAAAAGGUUUGGGCUAAUAAGCUGAGCUCAUGACGGUACCGUAAGAAUAAGCACCGGCUAACUACGUGCCAGCAGCCGCCGCCG